This 65-nucleotide transfer RNA is filed under the name Dipodomys ordii (Ord's kangaroo rat). It matches the Rfam family "tRNA". Rfam says of the family: Transfer RNA (tRNA) molecules are approximately 80 nucleotides in length. Their secondary structure includes four short double-helical elements and three loops (D, anti-codon, and T loops). Lineage: Eukaryota; Metazoa; Chordata; Mammalia; Rodentia; Heteromyidae. The record is from Rfam by way of RNAcentral.
GGUGGCUCAGUGGUAGAGUGCUUGCCUAACAUGCAUGAGGCCCUGGGUUCAAUUCCUCAGCACCA